UAGCCCAGUUGGUAGAGUGCUUGCCUCUCAUGCAAAAGGCCCUAGGUUCAAUUUCUAG
RNAcentral lists this transfer RNA (58 nucleotides) under Ictidomys tridecemlineatus (thirteen-lined ground squirrel). RNAcentral's name for it is "Spermophilus tridecemlineatus (thirteen-lined ground squirrel) tRNA". It matches the Rfam family "tRNA", at positions 8 to 63 of the family's 71-position model. From Rfam's summary of the family: Transfer RNA (tRNA) molecules are approximately 80 nucleotides in length. Their secondary structure includes four short double-helical elements and three loops (D, anti-codon, and T loops). Lineage: Eukaryota; Metazoa; Chordata; Mammalia; Rodentia; Sciuridae. The record is from Rfam by way of RNAcentral.